AGAGUUUGAUCCUGGCUCAGGACGAACGCUGGCGGCGUGCCUAAUACAUGCAAGUAGAACGCUGAAGAGAGGAGCUUGCUCUUCUUGGAUGAGUUGCGAACGGGUGAGUAACGCGUAGGUAACCUGCCUUGUAGCGGGGGAUAACUAUUGGAAACGAUAGCUAAUACCGCAUAACAAUGGAUGACACAUGUCAUUUAUUUGAAAGGGGCAAUUGUUCCACUACAAGAUGGACCUGCGUUGUAUUAGCUAGUAGGUGAGGUAAUGGCUCACCUAGGCGACGAUAAAUAGCCGACCUGAGAGGGUGAUCGGCCACACUGGGACUGAGACACGGCCCAGACUCCUACGGGAGGCAGCAGUAGGGAAUCUUCGGCAAUGGGGGCAACCCUGACCGAGCAACGCCGCGUGAGUGAAGAAGGUUUUCGGAUCGUAAAGCUCUGUUGUAAGUCAAGAACGGGUGUGAGAGUGGAAAGUUCACACUGUGACGGUAGCUUACCAGAAAGGGACGGCUAACUACGUGCCAGCAGCCGCGGUAAUACGUAGGUCCCGAGCGUUGUCCGGAUUUAUUGGGCGUAAAGCGAGCGCAGGCGGUUUGAUAAGUCUGAAGUUAAAGGCUGUGGCUCAACCAUAGUUCGCUUUGGAAACUGUCAAACUUGAGUGCAGAAGGGGAGAGUGGAAUUCCAUGUGUAGCGGUGAAAUGCGUAGAUAUAUGGAGGAACACCGGUGGCGAAAGCGGCUCUCUGGUCUGUAACUGACGCUGAGGCUCGAAAGCGUGGGGAGCGAACAGGAUUAGAUACCCUGGUAGUCCACGCCGUAAACGAUGAGUGCUAGGUGUUGGAUCCUUUCCGGGAUUCAGUGCCGCAGCUAACGCAUUAAGCACUCCGCCUGGGGAGUACGACCGCAAGGUUGAAACUCAAAGGAAUUGACGGGGGCCCGCACAAGCGGUGGAGCAUGUGGUUUAAUUCGAAGCAACGCGAAGAACCUUACCAGGUCUUGACAUCCCGAUGCUAUUUCUAGAGAUAGAAAGUUACUUCGGUACAUCGGUGACAGGUGGUGCAUGGUUGUCGUCAGCUCGUGUCGUGAGAUGUUGGGUUAAGUCCCGCAACGAGCGCAACCCCUAUUGUUAGUUGCCAUCAUUCAGUUGGGCACUCUAGCGAGACUGCCGGUAAUAAACCGGAGGAAGGUGGGGAUGACGUCAAAUCAUCAUGCCCCUUAUGACCUGGGCUACACACGUGCUACAAUGGUUGGUACAACGAGUUGCGAGUCGGUGACGGCGAGCUAAUCUCUUAAAGCCAAUCUCAGUUCGGAUUGUAGGCUGCAACUCGCCUACAUGAAGUCGGAAUCGCUAGUAAUCGCGGAUCAGCACGCCGCGGUGAAUACGUUCCCGGGCCUUGUACACACCGCCCGUCACACCACGAGAGUUUGUAACACCCGAAGUCGGUGAGGUAACCUUUUGGAGCCAGCCGCCUAAGGUGGGACAGAUGAUUGGGGUGAAGUCGUAACAAGGUA
This 1506-nucleotide ribosomal RNA is filed under the name metagenome. Its description in RNAcentral is "bacterial SSU rRNA". It matches the Rfam family "Bacterial small subunit ribosomal RNA". The record is from RNAcentral.